Molecule: non-coding RNA, 167 nt
Filed under: bovine gut metagenome
Source: RNAcentral
CAUCGUGAGGUGGAAUCUGAAGUAAGCCUGAAGCAAAUUCUCGGUCUGACGAACAGAACCGCAUAUAAGGCAUAUACAGGACGGACGAGUCUGCAAGAUAAGACAAAGUCCCAUACUGCCUGAAUUCUGUGAUGUAAAUGCGGCAGAUAUAUGAGAGGAAGGUUGCU